GCUUAAUCUACAUGUAAGAAUGCUUUUACUGUAAAUCCACAUGGACCAAGGAGGAGAUUCACUCAUGUGAUGUGUCUGAAUUUUCAGAAUUAUUCCAAUAUAGCUAAUAUUAGAUGGUCAACUUAGAUGUCAAAGUUAGCUGCUGACAAGAAAUAAUGCUAGAUCUUUUAGAGCUGUGUUGCUUUCCUCUUUUACUUACAGGUACAACUGGGGCUCUUGAUUUCAGUCCAUAGAAACCCCUGUUCCUGUGUUAGGUCAAGUUGUGCUCUUAAACAGCUGCAGUCCGAUUAUGAGCAACAAGGGCUCACAGCAGCUCAGCCAGCAGGCAGGUUAAUGCCAAUCAGCACAGACUGGAAGGAGCAAUUUUGCUAGGAGGUCACAGCUGACAGGAAGGAUGAAGAAUUGUGGCCAGAAUAAAAGAUGUCUCCCAUGAUGCUCA
This 439-nucleotide long non-coding RNA is filed under the name Phasianus colchicus (ring-necked pheasant). Its description in RNAcentral is "lncRNA (ENSPCLG00000004107.1)". Lineage: Eukaryota; Metazoa; Chordata; Aves; Galliformes; Phasianidae. The record is from RNAcentral.